UUCCACUAAAGCUCCGAGCGCCAGGGCAGCCCAGGCGCAGCCCGCCUCUGCGCGCCCGCGACCACGUGACGGUGAUUCACCCGGCGCGGCUUCCCGAUCCCGCGCGCGGACUCCUAGUCUGAGGGGAGCUGGGAGGAGGAGAAGAAGUAGGUUGAGGAGGAGUAGGAUGAGGAAGGAAGGGUGUGGGGAGAGGCAGGAGGGGAGUAGAGGGGACGAGGAGGUGCGGAGGCGCCAGCAGGUACCUGGGCCCUUCCGCCCCGAUGUGUUGGGGUCUGGGGCCCCGAAACGCCCCCUCCAGUCCAGCCUGGGCAAGCUGGGAGGCCGCCGGGUGCGCGCCAGCCACGGUCGCCUGCGUCGUGGAAAACCUAGAGAGCCCCAGGCGUUAGGCGCCUGGAGGCCACGCGGAGUUUUCGCGAACGCGCCGGGCGGUGCAGGGAUGCCCUGUCUGGGAGAGUGCACGGUGGGAAGCGGGCACGCCCUGUAGGCAGCUGCCUGCGCUUGUGUACGUGGCUGCUGACGUGGAGAACUGUAGCUGUGGAAAGCCUGCUACCCAGGAAGGACGCAGGGGGUGCAGUCGCGGCCCGUUCUCUGUGCCCGGAAAGUCCCGAGGGCACUAGGAGUUGUCAGAUUAAACCCCCAGACCCACGAGGUAUCUGUUUUCACCAGAAAAUUUGUGAAUUGACAGACCAUAAAAUCUGUGCAUUUCAGAUUCAUGGAGCCUUUUGCUUAGAAGACCUCUCUUCCUUCUGACUGACACAGCCCCAUCACAGGGUGCAGGGCUUGGCAAGUGGAGUACAGGAUGGAUUUCAGCCGUUACCACCUCUUCCCACCAGGACACGGUGCAGUAUACAAAUGGCACAUUGAAUGUGGUAGCUAUGAAGACAGGUUUUUGAAUUUCACUUUCUGUGCUUCAGCUCAGGAGAUACGUUGUUUAUUCUAUUGUUCUGUCUUAGUCAACUUUAAUAGCUGGAUCUGGGGAAGAGAUGGUUCAGUAUUUUUUGUCGUUGAAUCCGAUGGUUGAUUGCUAAUUAUUAGUUAAGGUAAUCUACAAACAUCCUGCUGACAUUCAAGAUUGUUUUCUAUCAGACGUUUCAUGAAGCCACUUAAUUUAGGGUUAAGGUCCUGCUGGACCUUAUAGGAAUCUAAAAGCAAGGAGAAAGGCAUCAGAAUAUCACACCCUUUUAGCUAUAAAUCAUAUUUCUGUAAUGCUGUUGCUACUUUUUUUCUACAUGCUCUUGCAAUUUAAGAUGAUGCAUUUUAUUUCCAGUGGUUUGCAAACUGUAACUGAAAGACAGAAUGCUCGGAAAAGCCUCUGGCUAAAAACUAGUCUAUUGACAUAGAAUCAUGUCAGGAGUGGCCCGUGAGAUUUGUGGGUUUUGGCCUCUUGUUUCUCAUCCAAUAUUUCUUUUCAGGAUUAUCACAGUUAAAUUCCUCAUAGGAUAUGCACUAGAUUAAAAUCACAUUAAAGCUUGGACUUAAGCAUAGCAAAAAGUCUUGAUUCUUUGACAUUACCUCCCAAGAUUCUUCUGUUAUGGUUUCAGUGGUCCUGAACUUUGGAAGAUGCAGAUAAGAUAAUAACUCCACUAUCCCCUACAAGGAGGAUGCCACCUGUAAUAAGGCACUGAGAAGUUUUAUUGUCUCAAAUAUAUUUAUUCUCAUUCUUAAGAAAACUUGAAAUAACUUGUGUUGUUUUGUUCUUAUUUCUGUUUAGAAAUCUUUUUCAUUUCCCCUGCCCUGUCUUUUCCAUUCAGAAAUGAGUACAGACUGUUUUUUAGCUCACUCAUGAGCUCUAGAAACAGUCGUUUUGAUUAUUAAAUUUUUAUCUAACAAUAAGUAACAUGCACUUAAUGCAUUAUAGUUUAUAAAGCACUUUUUUCCAAAUGCAUUACACAUUUAAUAUCAUGAACUUUUGAGAUGGAUAUUACAAUUUUCUCCUUUUUUGCAAACUGGGAAACUAAAGCUCAGAGAUCCAUGUACUGUGCUACCCAAAGGAUAUAGGAAGAGAACCAGACUUUUUACCUUUAAUUGAUCAAAAAAGAGAUGUCAUCACAAUUUCCAUGUGAGUAACCUGUCCUGAAAUUAUAAGACAUCCUUUGCUCACUUAAUCACAUGUAGUGUUGUUGCUGGACUUUUCCUUAGUUCAGCUAAAGAUGGGGUUCUUGUCAUAGGGCCAUGAAAAUUUAGGCUUGCAGACAAUUUAAAGGGUGAGUAAGGCAGGGUUUUAUUGGGUGGAAAGGAAGACAAGGGGAAAUGGAGACUCUUAGCAAAGCAAGAGAGUGUGCUUCUUGCCCCUGGGUUCCCGCCUUGCUGAUUGAAUCCCAGGUUUCACCCAGGAAGAGGAGGGGCUGGGCUUCUCCCUGCAGACUUCUGUGGCUCCGCCCCAGUGCGCAGGCCAGUUGGAGUUUUGUUGGGGAGCCUUUCCCAUGUGACUGUCUCUGUGUAGUACAUGUGAUGUGGCCUAAAUUGGAAAAUAUCUAAAUUAGUAGCUACCUGUGAAUUUGUCCUAACUUAUUUAGAGAAUCUUUUGAAAUGAUUUAAAAUUCUUUGGGUUGUCAGCUCAGACUACGCGCGCGCACACACACACACACACACACACACACACGAACAACCCUUGAGCAAAAUUAACAGUAGUGAAUCUGCAGCCUUUCAAAGUAAUCAGAGAACCUUGAACUCCAGCUAAUUUGACAUUUUCACCUUUUCUAACUUUUUUCAGAGUGUGUUGACAUUCAGGUCAAUUUUGAGCUGCUUUUAAGAAUACCUAGUGUCUAGUAUAGUAUAGGUAUUUCCAUAAAUGACUGAAUUGUUCA
This is a long non-coding RNA of Cebus imitator (Panamanian white-faced capuchin), 2807 nucleotides long. RefSeq lists it as uncharacterized. NCBI's taxonomy places the organism in Eukaryota, Metazoa, Chordata, Mammalia, Primates, Cebidae. The record is from RefSeq and is a predicted model, not a curated record. The transcript is spliced from 3 exons.